CCGUCCCCCCACCGCGACCUGGCCAAGGCCCAGGAGGGUGGCGCCAAGCUCCAGCGAGACCUCAAGGAGGCGCUGGCGCAGCGGGAGGACAUGGAGGAACGCAUCACCACGCUGGAGAAGCGCUACCUGAGCGCCCAGCGUGAGGCCACCUCGCUGCACGAUGCCAACGACCGCCUGGAGAACGAGCUGGCCAGCAAGGACUCACUCUACCGCCAGAGCGAGGAGAAGGGCCGCCAGCUG
Molecule: non-coding RNA, 240 nt
Organism: Struthio camelus australis
Lineage: Eukaryota; Metazoa; Chordata; Aves; Struthioniformes; Struthionidae
Source: RefSeq, a predicted model, not a curated record